Molecule: ribosomal RNA, 253 nt
Filed under: uncultured bacterium
Lineage: Bacteria
Description: partial 16S ribosomal RNA
Rfam family: Bacterial small subunit ribosomal RNA
Source: RNAcentral
UACGUAGGGACCGAGCGUUGUCCGGAUUCAUUGGGCGUAAAGAGCUCGUAGGCGGCCACUCAAGUCGAAUGUGAAACCUCGAGGCUUAACCUCGAGCCUGCAUUCGAUACUGCCGUGCUUGAGGACUGGAGAGGAGACUGGAAUUUACGGUGUAGCGGUGAAAUGCGUAGAUAUCGUAAGGAAGACCAGUGGCGAAGGCGGGUCUCUGGACAGUUCCUGACGCUGAGGCACGAAAGCAUGGGGAGCAAACAGG